This 74-nucleotide transfer RNA is filed under the name Novipirellula aureliae. RNAcentral's name for it is "Planctomycetes bacterium Q31b tRNA-Ala". The record is from RNAcentral. Lineage: Bacteria; Pseudomonadati; Planctomycetota; Planctomycetia; Pirellulales; Pirellulaceae.
GCCAGCCUUUUGCGCAAGUGGCGUUCCUGGAUUUGCGGUUCCGGACAUGGAUGUUCUAGACGUUUAGGUUGGCG